AGGGUUAAUCUUAAUACGAAUAUUUUUCUUUAAUAUAUUUAAGCAAUGUGUUAAACUGUGUGUUGGAUAAAAACAAAAUCAAAAUGCUUCUUGAUGCAUAUAUAAGAGAGAUUUAAAUAUAUAGACAAAUAGGGGGAAUGGUUUUAAAUACUGGCAAGUUAUGUGUUAGGAGCAAUUGUUCUGCAACACAACUUUUUGAACAGGUUUUAUGUACUUUGUGAAUAAAACUUUGAGCUGACAGUCUUUCUGUCUAUAAAUGCAGUCCCAACAUUCUAUCCAAAUUUUACUGUAUUUUUGAGGUAAAAUCAUUCUAUUAGAAUCCAUAAUAUACACACAAUAUCUAGGAAGACAAUGACAGAAGUAAAAUAAUUUUGAAGGAGGAACUGGACUUUGGCAUCCUGGGCUUGACCAUGGCUGCUCAUGAGCCCCCCUGAUCUUGGUCAUCCAUUUAAACUUCAUUAAACUUCAGUUUCCUCUUGCAAAAUGAUUGUAAAGGAGCUUGAUUUCAAGAUCAGAUUUGUGUUUUUAAAGAUACAUGUGUUUGGCGUUAUUGUGAAAGAUACAAGAAAGAGUGUAAGACUACAGUAGUCCAAGUAUUCAUGAUUAGGACUUAAAUAAUAACAGGUCGGAUGGAAUGGAGCAGAGAGCAGAAGAAGAGUUUUAACAAUGGGAAGAAAUAGAAGUGAGAAAUUUUAAGUAUUCCAUCCAUUUUUUUUUUCACUUUUGAAGCAUUCUGGAAGACUUUUGAAGCACUUUUAUAAAUAUUGUAUUAGGAUAUGUUUUUUAAUGUAAGAGAUUUCUGUUGCAGUUUUUUUCCCUUCUUUCUCUAUUUCAUUCUCUUCAUUGAGCCAAGCAUUUCCAUGGAACCUGGUUCCUUGAUACUUAAUCACUUGGAAAAGGGAAUUUGAGAAGAUUAGCACAAAAGCAUAAGAAAUGCCUAUGCUUUCUUUCCUAACAUACUUAAUGCUCAGGUUUCUGGAUAAUCUGGCUUAACCUUUGGACAAUUUCUUGUGCAAAAUAAUGGUUUUGGGCCUUACUCUGCAGCAACUUGACACAGGUUAUGAUUGAUUUAAGAUCCUCCAUUUAUUGAGUAAUGCCAAUUUACCUGGAGUAUCACUAGGAUAUUCUACACACACACACACACACACACGUUUAAUAGACUUAUACGUCUUAGCAAAUGAAAGUCAUAGUUCAUGAUAUUUGGAAAGUGAAGAAUAAUUUUUGUGAAUAAUUCUGUUAGAGUUUCAAAAGCAUCUAUUUUCAAUAAUACAUUCAGCUUCAGACAUAAUAAUCCAUAUUAUCCUUACAUGUAUAUAAUGAGAUGUUCUUAUUAUUCUUAUAUGAAAUUAAUAGAUCUUGAAAUUAGAGUCUUUAAAAUUGUCAACUCAAAUUUUUCACCCCUUACAAUGAUUUCUUCUACAUUAAACUUAUACAUUUAUACAGCUGGUUGUCUAGAUUUUUAAUAUAAUACAAAGCUCUUUAUCUUUAUAAAGCAACUAAUUUUAAUGUGGAGAUGCUAUGAUUACUAAAAAACAGUUCUUACUUUAAGUUGAAAUGUGCCUUUUUGUAAUUUAGUUUCCUGUUAUUUUAAGAGCAAUUCUUUUUUGCCACCUGAAGAAACACUAUUGAUAGCCAAAUUUAGAUAUCACAAUGUAUUUUUUAAUUCUAGCCCUUUCCAGAAUUCUUAAGACUCUAGAUGUGCCUUCUUAAUUUUUCCCCAGGAUGUCCUCUUCAUGCUCCAAAACAUUUCUGAGGAAUCUUCCACCUGCACUGAGAUUUUUUGAGUCCAGAGAUUAUUUCUUAUUCAUUGGUGUAUUUCUAAUGCCUAACCAAGUAGUUGGAAUCUAAUAGGCCUGAAAUUCAGAGAUUAUUUCUUAUUCAUUGGUGUAUUUCUAAUACCUAACCAAGUAGUUAGAAUCUAAUAGGCCUGAAACAGCUAUUUAUUGAAUACAUAAGCACUUAUUAUUCAACGUUUAUUAUUUCCUAUAUGCAAAUAAAGAAUUCAGGUAAAAUUAUGAAAUUAUCUCCAUUCUCAAAUAAUUUUAAAACAAAACUUUGAGGACUAAGAUGGUGCCAUGGAAAAGAUUGAAACAAAAUCCAACUAGACUUCAGAGCAUGAAGAUAUUAUGCCCAGUAUAUUCUGGGGGGAAAGCUUUACAAUUUUCUUCUUUGCAUCGUUCUUACAGAAGGUUAUGAUUUCACAUAUGAAAACAGGGUGAGGGAAAGCAUCCCAGGUAGAUACAUUGUCAGGAAAAGAUCUCUCAUUGGAGGUAACAGUGACUUCAUACAUGAUUCCUUAGGCAUUGGCCAUUAAAAUGUUUUGAGUGAGAGUGCUCCGUGACAGCUGUGUGCCAUGAAGAAGUAGAGGAAAAGGUGUUCCUUAAGGACCAAUGGAUGAGAUAAAGCAGCAGCAUUUAAGCCCAACACUCGUAUAGUCAAAUCCUAGAACCUCUGCCCUCAUCCUAAUUAUUACUGCAUCUUUAGGGUGUAUAAAGUCAGAAAGCUUGUUAUGAAGGGAAAACACAUUUCCUUCCACAUUUAGUUUCCAUUUUCUUAAGGAUAAUUGAAUUGUAAUAACAAUGAUUCACAUAGGAUUCCAGAAAAGCUAUAAAUUGAUGAUUUAGUACAUAUCACUUGCUACACAAAUGAUGUGAGGUGGGGAAUGAGGCAGGUCAGUUGGGAGAAAUGCCACUUCAGAAGUGCUCUCCUGGAUUAAAAUGUGCAUUUUAGACUUUGACUUCUCUGGAUUCUUUGCUGAAAUAUAAGAUUUUCUUUUUUUUUUUUUUAACUUUUAUUUUAGGUUCAGGGGUAUAUGUGCAGGUUUGUUAUGUAAGUAAAUUUUAUAUCAUGGGAAUUCAGUAUACAAAUUAUUUUCUCAUCCAGUUACUAAGCAUAGUACCUGAUAGGUAGUUUUUCUAUUUUCUUCCUCCACCCUCCACCCUCAAGUAGGCCCUGGUGCCUGUUGUCACCACCUUUGUGUCCCUUUGUACUCAGUGUUUAGCUUGCACUUAUAAGUGAGAACAUGUGGUAUUUGGUUUUCUGUUCCAGUGUUAGUUUUCUUAGGAUUAUGGCCUCCAGCUCUAUUCAUGUUGCUGCAAAGGGCAUAAUCUUGUUCUUUUUAAUGGCUGCAUAGUAUUCCAUGGUGUAUAUGUAUCACAUUUUGUUUAUCCAGUUUAUCCUGUUGAUGGGCACUUGGGUUGAUUCCAUGUCUUUGCUAUUGUGAAUAGUACCACAAUGAACAUAUGCAUGCAUGUUUCUUUAUGGCAGAACAAUUUCUAUUCCUUUGGGUAUAUAUCCAAUAAUGGAAUUGCUGGGUCCAGUGGUGUUUCUGUUUUAAGUUCUUUGUACAAAAGCAUAAGAAAUGCCUAUGCUUUCUUUCCUAACAUACUUAAUGCCACACUGAUUUCCACAAUAGCUGAACUAAUUUACAUUCCCACCAGCAGUGUAUAAGCAAUUCCUUUUCUCCAUAACCUCACUAGCAACUGUUGUUUUUUGAAUUUUUAAUAAAAGCCAUUCUGACUAGUGUGAGAAGGUAUCUCAUUGUGGUUUUAAGUUGCAUUUCUCAAAUGAUUAGAUCAUGUUGAGCAUUUUUUCAUAUACUUGUUGGCCACUUAUGUGUUUUCUUUAAAGAAGUGUCUAUUCAUGUCCUUUGCCCACUUUUUAGUGGUUUUGUUUUGUCUUGUUUUGUUUUUUUUUGCUUGUUAAUGACAUAUAAGAUUUUUUAAAGUUUCCUUCUAAGCUUGGAACAGAAGAUUGAAAGUAAGGACAUGAGAAGCACCGACACAAAUUUCCCCAUGUUUUGUACAAUUCUGUAAUUCCUGCUCUAACAAUACUGGUGAGCUGGGGGAAAAAAAAGGAAGAAGGAAAACCUUGUUUAGAUAUUUGCCAUUGCCUUCGAAUUGGUCUUUUUUAGAUUUUAUCCUCUUCCAGGCCUCCUUUUUUUCCUGGAAUUAUUUUUCUUAAAUACAAAUUUUAAUUCCCUGUUCCAUUCUUAUUGUCUAUAAGUCCAAGCUCUUAAUUAAACAUGGUUUACAAAGCCUUUUAGAGUUUGGCUUCUUCCUGUCUCUUUAACCUCAUCUCAUUCAGUGUCCCUUCUUGUCCCAGUCUUCAGGUGGAAGGAAAAUAUUAUUACUAUACCAUCCUGCCUUCAUGCAGGAGCUUUCCCCAUUUUAAGUUUGAUGAACUCCUGUUCUUCUGUCCAAAACCAGCCAAAGUGAUUGCUUGGGCAGUACAUUUACUAAAAUUAGAACAAAAGAGAGACAAUUAGCAUGGCCCCUGAGCAAGAAUGACGUGCAAAUUCAUGAAGUAUUCUAUAUUUUUAUUCCAUAUGUUUCCACUUUUAUGAGGGUACCUAGAGUAGUCAAAUUCUUGAGAUAAAUAUUAAAAUGGUGGCUGGCAAGGGCUGAGGGAGGGAGGAAUGGGGAGUUAUUGUAUAAUAGGCACAGAGAUUCAGAUUUGUAAGAUAAAAAGAGUUCUGUGGGGGUGGAUUAGUAGCAAAACAAUGUGAAUGUAUUUAAUGCCACUGAACAGUACAUUCAAAAAUGGUCAAGAUAAAUUUCAUGGUGUGCGUAUUUUACCACAAUUUUUAAAAACAGUCCAAGUUCCGUGGUCCCUUUCCUCUGAACCCAACCUCAGAGGGAGUUAAGCACUUCCAUUAUUUAAUCAGUAGACUGAAAUAGCUGCACCCUAAGUGAUUGUUAAGGACUAUAACCUUGAACUCACUGUUGCUUGACACUCAUCAAAUGCUUGGUUGGGCAACAUAAAUUUGCAAAGGAUUGCCUGAGUGAUAUAUAGUCCAUGUGUUCCUAUAGAUACAAAAAAAAAAAAAAUCCUAAGAAUAAGCUUCACAAGCAGAAAUUUACACACCUGGACCAUAUGGUCUGCCCUCUUGUAAAACUGCUUUUAUUGUAUAUAAUUUGGCAUUAUGUCAUCAUUGGUCCAUGCUAGCAGCCACUAUAAGAAAUAGCCCUAUGAAGUCGAUUUAAUAUAUGGAUGUUGUUGAGGAUGGCACGUUGUUCAUUUUUUGAUCACCUACAGGAAAAAUUUUCAUAUCAGCACUAGGAAUAAGUUUAUUUUCUUUUUCUUUGGAGAUAAUAUAAAUGGUGUAAUUGAUUAUGUUCUGAUUUUUCUUACCUUCCAAAAAGCUUAGAGGCCAAAUGCUUAUUCUGGCAUUUUUC
Molecule: long non-coding RNA, 5177 nt
Filed under: Homo sapiens (human)
Lineage: Eukaryota; Metazoa; Chordata; Mammalia; Primates; Hominidae
Source: RNAcentral